UACGUAGGGUGCAAGCGUUUGUCCGGAAUUAUUGGGCGUAAAGAGCUUGUAGGCGGUCUGUCGCGUCUGCUGUGAAAAUCCGGGGCUCAACCCCGGACUUGCAGUGGGUACGGGCAGACUAGAGUGUGGUAGGGGAGACUGGAAUUCCUGGUGUAGCGGUGAAAUGCGCAGAUAUCAGGAGGAACACCGAUGGCGAAGGCAGGUCUCUGGGCCACUACUGACGCUGAGAAGCGAAAGCAUGGGGAGCGAACAGG
This 254-nucleotide ribosomal RNA is filed under the name uncultured bacterium. RNAcentral's name for it is "partial 16S ribosomal RNA". It matches the Rfam family "Bacterial small subunit ribosomal RNA", at positions 524 to 776 of the family's 1533-position model. The record is from RNAcentral.